UCAAACUUGGUCAUUUAGAGGAAGUAAAAGUCGUAACAAGGUUUCCGUAGGUGAACCUGCGGAAGGAUCAUUAAUAAAUGUUUUGGUAUUAAAAUUUGAUGCCAAUCAUCUGUUUUUGUGGUAACAUUGAAAGUAAAAGCUUUUCUGCAAAGAAAGGUGAAAAGGGGGUAAUGUAAAAGGAUUUGUUAAUUGUGAUAAAAAGCAAGAACAAUCUUUUUCAACCCCUAAAAACUUUAUCAACUCUUUAUUUAUUUGACUGAAAUAAAAAUAUUAUCAAAUUUUUAUUUGAUUAAAAUUUUUUUUAAAUAACUUUCAACAACGGAUCUCUUGGUUCUCGCAUCGAUGAAGAACGCAGC
Molecule: unclassified non-coding RNA, 356 nt
Filed under: uncultured fungus
Lineage: Eukaryota; Fungi
Description: partial contains small subunit ribosomal RNA, internal transcribed spacer 1, and 5.8S ribosomal RNA
Rfam family: Eukaryotic small subunit ribosomal RNA (bases 1-73)
Source: RNAcentral